UGCCAAACACCCAGUGAUC
Molecule: unclassified non-coding RNA, 19 nt
Filed under: Mus musculus (house mouse)
Lineage: Eukaryota; Metazoa; Chordata; Mammalia; Rodentia; Muridae
Description: oocyte_clustered_small_RNA11815
Source: RNAcentral